CCUACGGGAGGCAGCAGUGGGGGAUAUUGGACAAUGGGGGGAACCCUGAUCCAGCGACGCCGCGUGAGUGAAGAAGUAUUUCGGUAUGUAAAGCUCUGUCAGCAGGGAAGAAAGAAAUGACGGUACCUGACCAAGAAGCCCCGGCUAACUACGUGCCAGCAGCCGCGGUAAUACGUAGGGGGCAAGCGUUAUCCGGAAUUACUGGGUGUAAAGGGAGCGUAGACGGUUAAGUAAGUCUGGAGUGAAAGGCCGGGGCUCAACCCCGGGACUGCUCUGGAAACUAUUUAACUUGAGUGCAGGAGAGGUAAGCGGAAUUCCUAGUGUAGCGGUGAAAUGCGUAGAUAUUAGGAGGAACACCAGUGGCGAAGGCAGCUUACUAAACUGCCACUGACAUUGAUGCUCGAAAGUGUGGGUAUCAAACAGGAUUAGAUACCCGAGUAGUC
Molecule: ribosomal RNA, 443 nt
Filed under: uncultured bacterium
Lineage: Bacteria
Description: partial 16S ribosomal RNA
Rfam family: Bacterial small subunit ribosomal RNA
Source: RNAcentral